GGGGGCGAAAUUGGUUUCGACUGGUCAGGUGGGGCGUCGGUGGCAUGCGGAGGAUGACCGUUGGCCUCCUAAAUCAUCGGUCAAACAAGUAGCUGCGAACAACCAGCUGCCACUCGCUGCCUAAGGGCGGCGACGUCUUCACUCUGAUGUCUGAUAAGGGCUGAAGACGCCAACAUCAGGCUGGCCGUGAUGCCGGGCGUCCGGGCGGAUCGGCGAGAUUCAAACAGGCCGCUGGUUGCGGCGCUGGGCCCGUGCCCCGCCAGGCGCCGCGACGAGACCCCAAGGGUGCACUAAGCAUGUAGUCGCCGGCGUGCCGUCUCCCCAGGACGGGGGUUCGACUCCCCCGCCUCCACC
Molecule: transfer-messenger RNA, 354 nt
Filed under: Lentisphaerae bacterium ADurb.BinA184
Lineage: Bacteria; Pseudomonadati; Lentisphaerota
Description: transfer-messenger RNA, SsrA
Rfam family: transfer-messenger RNA
About the family: Bacterial tmRNA, also known as 10Sa RNA or SsrA, is named for its dual tRNA and mRNA-like properties.
Source: RNAcentral